RNAcentral lists this unclassified non-coding RNA (409 nucleotides) under Hevea brasiliensis (rubber tree). The record is from RNAcentral. Lineage: Eukaryota; Viridiplantae; Streptophyta; Magnoliopsida; Malpighiales; Euphorbiaceae.
UAUUAAUCUCAGGUAAACACAAGGAUCUGAAGCAAGUUAAAGAAUAAAAUUUGGGCACUGUUUGGAAGUAUUGACAAUAAAACGCAAUGAGACAAGGUACUCGUUAACUCAAACCAAUCCAAUUCUUCAUAGCUCUAGGAGCUUCAAGGAAAAAACACACAAUAUUUUAUCAAAGUUAGCCAACUAAUUCAACACUCCACAAAGAAAGAAGUGAACUAGAUAAUUGAGGUUAAGAGAUGAUGGUCCAUGGGAAAACUGCCAACACUACCAACUUCUGGACGACCAUACCUCAGAAAAAAUCACAUACAGAGAUUCAACUGGAAAGCAAGGUAAAAAAAUUUAAGUUCAAACUCAAAAGACCCAAACCUUCCAAUCAGGGGAAUUGAAAUAAAUGUAACAGAUGGAAGAG